GUGUAGCACAAAGCUAAUAAAGAUUCAUAUUGCUAUAGUACCUUUGAACAUCUUUUAGAUUAAGGGUGUACUGCGGCUACGUGGAGAGUGCUACUGUAUUCCAAUCGAGAAACAACUUCAGUUAAAGAAUCUUUCCAUUCACCAACAAAACAUACUUGUAUUCCACCAUGCCUUCGUAUAAGCUUACAUACUUUGAUUGCCGCUAUAAUACUGAAACUACCCGACUGAUAUUUGUGGCUUCUGGCACAGAAUUUGAGGAUAUUCUACUGCAUAUGGAUCACAAGGAUUUUUAUGUUCUAAAAAGCACUGGCAAGUUGCCGCUAGGUCAGGUACCAAUUCUGGAAGUGGAUGGUCGUCUUAUGUGCCAGAGUCGGGCUAUCCAGAGAUAUGUUGCCCGAGAAGUAGGCAAGUAUGGCAGCAGCAACGGAGAAGCUGCAACCAUCGAUGAAGUCACAGAAACAUGCGAUGAACUCCUAGAAAAUGCUGCACCAUGGUUGUAUCGGGAGCAGGACCCUGAGAAGAAGGCUGCUAUCAGGAAGGAAUACUUGGAGGAGAAGGGGCCGCACAGACUCUCUUACCUUGAGAAGAAGCUUCAGAGCAAUCCAUCAGGAUACUUUGCCGGAUCAAGCCUGACCCUUGCUGACCUUGCAGUAUUCAACAUUCUGGACAUCCUUAACGACAACAUGCCAGAGGUUAUCACAGCCUACCCCUCCCUCCUGGCGCUGAAGGCCAAGGUCGCAGCCGACGAGAAGAUUGCCAAAUACCUUACAACAAGGCCAAAGACUGAAAUUAGUGAAGAAGAAGCUUCUGUUAGCGAUGGGGCGGGAAAAAACCACAACAACCCUGUACUAGUGAAUGCGAAGAUGUAGAUAUCUUUACAGAUAUUAAUUGUCUUCUCUUCUACGAAUCUCUUUUUUUCUCAUUCAAUUUGGAUAUCAAAUUACAUUAUACAACAGGACUUCGGGCUGCCUAUGGAAUCUCUUGAGUCGUCGCGUGGAGGCAGUUUUGGUCAAAUAUAGCUAUUUUUGCUCGCAUGAGUAACAACAAUGACGUCAUUCAGGCUACCGACAUACUUUUCCCGUGUCACUCUAUUGUCUCAUAUAGGACCAAAGCUAUAACUUUCUGUUAAACCGAUGAAGUUUUUUUUUCUCGAAGAGAAGUGUAAUCAAUGAGGAGAAGAUGAAACCAUAUUUUCCUAGAGAGAUUCAAAAGUUUUCAUGAACUAAGGCUCGAAGAUGAACUAUGUGCUAAAGAACAUUUGACAUUGACAAAGGCAACAGGGUAUUUUUUAAUCUUAUUUUCAACAGGGUAACAAUUUCCAAUAGCAUGUUGGAUGUUGCCUUUAUAUGAACUAUAUUGAUACCAAAAAUAAAAUAACAACUUAUUACUGAGUAUGACUUAUGAUUAUUCCAUUGCUUUAUUGUAUCUGGACCCCGUUGUAAAACUCUUCAAAAGUUAACAAAGUUACCAUUAUUGGUACCUACCAUGGAAACUUCGGUUGAGUGAUGUUGCCAUGGUAGUUAAUAUUGAUGGCAAAUUACCAUUACUAUGCAACGGGGUCCACGAUUGUUAAAUUUAAUAAAUUUGAUAAAAUAAUUGUUCGAUAA
Molecule: RNA transcript, 1607 nt
Organism: Strongylocentrotus purpuratus (purple sea urchin)
Lineage: Eukaryota; Metazoa; Echinodermata; Echinoidea; Camarodonta; Strongylocentrotidae
Gene name: hematopoietic prostaglandin D synthase-like
Exons: 7
Source: RefSeq, a predicted model, not a curated record